AGAGUUUGAUCCUGGCUCAGAGUGAACGCUGGCGGCAGGCCUAACACAUGCAAGUCGAGCGGCAGCGGGCUGUAGCAAUACAGUGCCGGCGAGCGGCGGACGGGUGAGGAAUACAUCGGAAUCUACCUUGUCGUGGGGGGAUAACGUAGGGAAACUUACGCUAAUACCGCAUACGAACUACGGUUGAAAGCGGAGGACCGCAAGGCUUCGCGCGAUUGGAUGAGCCGAUGUCGGAUUAGCUAGUUGGCGGGGUAAUGGCCCACCAAGGCGACGAUCCGUAGCUGGUCUGAGAGGAUGAUCAGCCACACUGGAACUGAGACACGGGUCCAGACUCCUACGGGAGGCAGCAGUGGGGGAAUAUUGGACAAUGGGCGCAAGCCUGAUCCAGCCAUGCCGCGUGUGUGAAGAAGGCCUUCGGGUUGUAAAGCACUUUUGUUGGGGAAGAAAAGCCGCUGGUUAAUACCCGGUGGUCAUGACGGUACCCAAAGAAUAAGCACCGGCUAACUUCGUG
Molecule: ribosomal RNA, 511 nt
Filed under: uncultured bacterium
Lineage: Bacteria
Description: bacterial SSU rRNA
Rfam family: Bacterial small subunit ribosomal RNA
Source: RNAcentral